UUUGACGUUAGCUGCAGAAGAAGCACCGGCUAACUCCGUGCCAGCAGCCGCGGUAAUACGGAGGGUGCGAGCGUUAAUCGGAAUUACUGGGCGUAAAGCGCAUGCAGGCGGUUUGUUAAGCAAGAUGUGAAAGCCCCGGGCUCAACCUGGGAACCGCAUUUUGAACUGGCAGGCUAGAGUCUUGUAGAGGGGGGUAGAAUUUCAGGUGUAGCGGUGAAAUGCGUAGAGAUCUGAAGGAAUACCGGUGGCGAAGGCGGCCCCCUGGACAAAGACUGACGCUCAGAUGCGAAAGCGUGGGGAGCAAACAGGAUUAGAUACCCUGGUAGUCCACGCUGUAAACGAUGUCUACUUGGAGGUUGUGGCCUAGAGCCGUGGCUUCCGGAGCUAACGCGUUAAGUAGACCGCCUGGGGAGUACGGUCGCAAGAUUAAAACUCAAAUGAA
Molecule: ribosomal RNA, 442 nt
Filed under: Enterovibrio norvegicus FF-162
Lineage: Bacteria; Pseudomonadati; Pseudomonadota; Gammaproteobacteria; Vibrionales; Vibrionaceae
Description: bacterial SSU rRNA
Rfam family: Bacterial small subunit ribosomal RNA
Source: RNAcentral